Molecule: non-coding RNA, 45 nt
Organism: Schistosoma margrebowiei
Lineage: Eukaryota; Metazoa; Platyhelminthes; Trematoda; Strigeidida; Schistosomatidae
Source: Rfam
AUCCAGCUGACUAGUCCCAAAUAAAACGAGACACGCGUCCUGGAU